GCAGCUGAUUGACUGCUGGUAGCUCAAGUCUCCAGCAAAGAGGCAGCCAGGAGCCACUGGGGCUGACACUCACAGCCAGUAGAGGGGAUCUGGGUGGGCCAUCAAGGGGCACCAUGCAGGGUUUAGUGCCAGAAGAUAAGAGCAAGCGACCCAGGCAAGCCGUUCUCAAACACACUGGGUUUGACCAGUCUUUUAUCUCCACGGUUGUUGGCUGCUGACAUGCUGUGAUCCUACAAUAAGGAAAAUUAGAUACACAGAUGACUUGGCUGAGACCCCAGAUUCCUGUUCACAACUACGUAUUUGAUGGAGAAUGAGGUUCAGGGGCUCCCAACGCCCCCUCCUGCUGCCCUGCCCCCCAAACCCUGCACGCCUGUGGGAUGUCCUGUCCUGUCACACAGGAAGCGGUCCCUUUGUGUGGCUUCCAUGCUUUUCUGAGUCUUCAGGAGUUUGAUUUGGGAAAGGGGGGAAAAAAGGCGACUGAAGUUGCUGCCAUCAGUUCCCAGGAUGAAUGGCUAAGUAAUGAUGCUGAAGAACAAUUUGCAUCUAAGAGGCGGCUUGGGAGUUCCGUGAAUAGCCCGUGAUUGCAGAUAAACACCACCUGCCACGCUGUCCACUGCAGCCCUACUUCAGGUUGAGAGGGAGAGUUUUCCUUUGAGCAGAAAAGCUCUUCUUUUCUUUCACUCUCCAGUGCUUUUAUGCUAACACUUUGGAGCUAGACGAGAAAACUGGAUUUACAGUAAGUUAACCUGUUACCUCUGGAAAGAAGGAAGAAGAGUUUCCAAUUGAGGUUCGUUUACAUUUUGAUUAAAGUAGAAAAGUGGUGGCUGCAGAAGUCCUUUCCUGGUCCUCAAAGGUACCCUUUGUGUGGUCUGCGGACAUCGUGCUUGUCAGAAUGCACAUUUCAGGGCCCCACACCAGACCCAAGGUAUAGGCCAGUGGAGAGACAAUGAAAGUUCCUAUGGCCAGGAUACUCACCUGACCCUGGUCAGCUUGCUCACUAUGCAUGU
Manis javanica (Malayan pangolin) is the source of this 1007-nucleotide non-coding RNA. Lineage: Eukaryota; Metazoa; Chordata; Mammalia; Pholidota; Manidae. The record is from RefSeq and is a predicted model, not a curated record.